Molecule: non-coding RNA, 1282 nt
Organism: Danio rerio (zebrafish)
Lineage: Eukaryota; Metazoa; Chordata; Actinopteri; Cypriniformes; Danionidae
Source: RefSeq, a predicted model, not a curated record
UUUAUUUAUUUUUUUAUUAUGUGUGUAUGUCUGUUUAAACACGCACUCAAAACCCAGAGUGUCCACUUUCGCUCCACUUCAAAUUGCGUGAACAGAAUCUAAAAACAGUGUCUAUUUAUCACUAUGGUGCGUGACUAACAGUCAACUCUACAUGAACUGACUGUUUUAAGGAUUGCAUAGAAAGGGCAACGACACCUGUAAUGGAAAGGAAGGGAAUCCCGCCAUUUUAUAUUUAUUUUAAAGUGCUUUCAUGCCUAAAUAAAAUAAAAGCACAGAACAGAUUCACAGUUAAGAGCAAGAAGCGUUCGGCAGUGGGUUGCGUUUAGGGAGGAUCAGCUCUUUAAUGUUUAUUGCCACCCUUCAUAGAAAGAUUGAAAUACGGGAGACAUAUGGGAAAAUAACUUUACGGGAUGAUAGCGGAAUGUAAAAUUGUAAAAUACAGGAGAAUCGUGUGAAAACGGGACGGUUGACAGGUAUGUUCAAUUCCCACCUCAAGGUCCCAUGCUGAUCCUUCCCUUCUCUCUGCUCCCCACAUUGUCCUGUCUAGACUUUCCUACUGUCCUAUUAUUUAAAGGUGAAAACUCUGAGAAAAUAAUGAUAAAAAAAGCAUUAUUAGGAUUUUUAAAAAUGUUUUAUCUACAAUGUAGAUGUUGCCAGGGUUAAUGAAGUUCUGAAAUUAGUGUGUUUGUCAAAACGUGUCUUCAUGCCUGUUUUUUUUUUUUUGCCUCUCCAGCUUAGUAGUUGAAGAGUGAGAAGUCAAAUACUGUUUGGGGAUUUACUGAAAAGCUGUGCUAGUUUUGCAUGCAGUGCAUUCAUUAUUUUAGCAAACACAAGCUGAAUGAGGUGUGGUGCAUUGUAGAUAAUACCUAACACACUUGCACCUUUUCCACCAGCACAGCCCAUAAUCCCCUGAAAGCAGAGAGUAUGUAGGAAAAUGAAUAUUAUGAUUACUGUUGUGUGAAAGGGUUUAAGAAUGAAUGAAUGGUGUACUGGAAAGUGUGUGCGCAUGGGCCUGUAAAUAAAUAAAUUUUGUGUUUCAUUACAGAUUUUGGAAAAUAAAGCUGCAGUGAACUCCAGUGAUGUGGUGUCUAACAGCAGGGUCAUCUUCAUGGUCAGCUUCUCUCUGCGUCUCAAGUCCGCUGACGUACACGAUGAGCUAACUGGACAAACUGGUUGCAGCGGGGAAGCCCUCUACACAGAGCAACCAACAGAGGUCCAGCUUCCUCCACCAACCCCUCGAAAAGAGUCCCCAGACUCUGGCGGAUCCUGGUGCAGAAGUCCG